UAUGCAUCUAUUUAUGUUCCUACUUUGCAAU
Molecule: non-coding RNA, 31 nt
Filed under: Mus musculus (house mouse)
Lineage: Eukaryota; Metazoa; Chordata; Mammalia; Rodentia; Muridae
Source: RNAcentral